This 468-nucleotide ribosomal RNA is filed under the name uncultured bacterium. RNAcentral's name for it is "partial 16S ribosomal RNA". It matches the Rfam family "Bacterial small subunit ribosomal RNA", at positions 28 to 507 of the family's 1533-position model. The record is from RNAcentral.
GAUGAACGCUGGCGGCGUGCUUAACACAUGCAAGUCGAACGGAAAGGCGCUGCUUUUGCGGGGUUCUCGAGUGGCGCACGGGUGUGUAACACGUGAGUAUCCUGCCCUUGACUUUGUGAUAACUUCAGGAAACUGGGGCUAAUACCGGAUAGGAGAUCCUGCAGCAUGGUGGUGGUUGGAAAGUUUCGGCUGUUUGGGAUAGACUCGCGGCUUACGAGCUUGUUGGUGGGGUAGUGGCUUACCCAGCGUUCGACGGAUAGCCGGCCUGAGAGGGUGGCCAGGCACAUGGGGCCUGCGGUACGGCGCAGUCGGCAACGGUAGGCAGUGGUGGAGAGUAUUGCACAAUGGGCGGAAGCGUGAUGCAGCGGCGCCGCGUGCGUAAUGCCGGCCUUCGGGUGAUAAACCGCUUUCGCCUGUGACGAAGCGGGAGUGACGGUAAUGGGUAAAGAAGCACCGGCUAACUACGUG